UUACAUUUUUCUGCUACAAAAUCUAUAUGAUCAUGAUGAUCUUAUUUUUAGUAUGAGUCUUGAUGUCAUAAAACUGAGCAAAGCCAGAGUGGACACCAGAUUCUGCAUUAUCUAUUAUUGUUUCACAACGCCCUAAAUUAAAUUAGAUGGCCCUAGCAGCACCAACAUAGGAUUUGGUGUUAUGGUUUCUUUUCUCACAUCGAUUGUACCUGGCAGGGUUAUGAUGACAUUCCCAAGGAAAUUACUGAUUCUAAUGCAACAAAGCAUGAGGACUGGGAUGAGGAGGAAUGUGGCGAAUGGACAGCUCCGACCAUUCCAAAGCUGGAUUACAAGGGACCAUGAACACAAAAGAAAAUUAUGAACCUGAACUACAAGGGCAAAUGGAAGGCGCCUUUGAUCGACAACCCUGGUAACCUGAGCUUACCCACUGUUGUACAUUCAGACUUAUUUACUGUCCACUUAUCUUUUCUUAUAAGAAGCUAUGUAUUUUGAUCACUUCCUAUAUAUAUAUUUGUGGGGUCUACUUCCUUUUCUUAUGCUUCGUGAAGUACGGCAUAGGCGCUUCGAUCCUUACUCUAUUAUGUACUGCCGCUAAUUGUUAUGCAUAAUGUGUUGUGUGCAUCAUGGUUUUACUACUUGAAAAUGCAUGCUUAGUAGCUUGCUUCUCUUAUUAACUGCAGAUUUCUGCUCUCCCCUUUUGUAUUCAAUCAAGGAAUGUAUAUAAUAAUUUAUUUGCUCAUGGCGGUGAGAUAUUUGAAUCUCUACGCUUGUGUGCACUAGAAUGGAAUUUCUCAUGGUUUUCUAUGUAAUUCUUCAACAUAUUGUAGCCCUUACUGAUCCAUGACAAUGGAGAAUGCAUGUUUUAUCAAUAAGUUGUCAAGCAAUUCUGAUUUGUACAUCUACAAGCUGAUGCAGUUAUUGUCGAGAACACUGUUGGUUCAGCGUUGUCAUCAUGCAAGCAAUAGGCUCAUUUGCAUGCGGCUUGUCCUAUUAAAAUUAACAUGUAAAUUGUGAGAGGAGACAAGUAAGAAUAUUUGGUUUGAAAUUGUGAGAGGAGACAUUUUAGUUACCCAUGAUGCAUUUUCUUUUUGUUAACUUAUUUCAUUGUUCUCAUCUGCCAACAAAAUUCUCUCGAGCUAUGAUGAUCAGUUAUGGCUGAUAUAGGCAUGCUCUCGAGCAAUCGAGGCACUUGUGGAUAUUAUUUUGGAUCCUCCCUCAUUUCUUUGAGCCGUUUUGAUCACGUUCUUAUUUUAGUGGCUCUGUCCCUAGAUGGUCAUUUCUGAUGAGUGAUAACCAGGGCAGUUUCACCCUCGUAAGAACAUAUUGAUCUGGUGAUCCAUCCAUCCAGAAAUAAGAGAUGAAUGUUCCUACAAGCUCUCACAGCGAUUUGGAUUCUGGGCCAUUGGAUCUGGUUGCGUGAUCGGAUCUGGGCCGUCGGAUCGAGUCGCUGGGUGACCUGCGCCAUCGGAUCAGAUCCUUGGAACUGUCGCAAUGAAUAGUAGUCCAAAACGCGUGCCACCGCGUGUUAAUCACGUGCCCCAUCGGUUGGAAGCCAUUCUUGCUAGGGCGAUGAUGAUUAACCGUCGCGGAAAUAAGUGUGCCUUUGAGCAGUCGAGGCACCUGUGGGUAUCAAGUUGGAUCCUCCCCUUUGUCUCUAGAAUCCUUUUUUAUCCUGAGAUACUUGUUGUUGUCCUUGGAUGGUCAUUCUUGUUGAGUGAUAACCAGGGCAGAUCUACUGUAUAAACAGAUUGAUCUGGUGAUAAGAGAUGAUGGGGGUAGGUUAUAUGAUCGAGGAAAGGUGAAUUUGAGCCCACUGUGCAAUAAAACUGCAGGUACCUCCCCUACUGUGUGUGAUACUGAAGGCAAAAAAGAACUUUUCAUGUCUUGCUACUUUAAAAAUCCAAAAGGUUCAUUCUUCCUUUGCUGGUUACUUAACCAUGAUUUUUUUGCUUUGGUUCUGGUUGAGAUACUAAAGGUUGUUUAUAUAUGAAAAGAACAGUCACUUAUAGUUUUGUAUGCCUCAACUGCAGCUUAGGAUCCCGUGUUGUAGUGCUUUGCCUAAUUAAGAAUAACUCUAAUCAAUAAUAGUAUUUCUUUCCUUCUGAUUUGAACUGAGAGAGGGCCAUUGAUUCUUGACCUUAAGGUGACCCCAUUUUUUCUAUGCCUCAUGCUUAUGCUGCUCUAUGUUCCCUUUAAAAAUCCCGGCUGGCAUGCCUCGCCUCCACCUCCCGUGGCCCUGACCCAGGGUUUGGUUGGCGAGCUCGCUGCCGUUGGCCUUGGACGAGGAGAUUCGGCACACACACAGGAAGGAGCUCCGCCUCUGCUGCCUCUGCACACCCCAAGUUUGGGAUUACCAAACCAAGAGCUGUGUUCAAACACUUGAAGGACAUGCACACAAUGUGUCCGUUGUCUGUUUCCAUCCAGAACUACCUACUAUAAUUACUGGCUCAGAGGAUGGCACAGUUCGCUUGUGGCACUCUACAACCUACAGGAAACGCUCGGCAAGCCACACCACCUACGACGUGGUGAUCCCCCUCCCAUCGAGAACUGCCAUGUAGUUUUCUCUGCCAAGGUUGUUGUCUGUGUCGGUCUACGACGUGGUGCAUUGCCUUCAGUGGAGUGUGGCAUAUGCUUUUGGUUUCUUGUAUUGUUUCUGGUAGAACCUAGGACCGUUGUUCUGGAUGCUCAUUUUGUGUUACAGUGGCUACCAAGCAAACCAAUUGCAUGGCAGAUACGAUCUCUAGAAAAUGGUAGUUGUCACUCGACUUAUGGAUGUGCUGUCAGGAAGGUGCAUUCCUAUGUAAAAUGUGGCUUCUAUGUAUGAUGCUAAUUUAGUGCUUGGGGCUGCUAUGUGUUGACGUGGAGCAGGCAGAGGAGGAGCGACUACUACCCCAACGGCAGCCUCUCCUCCCUUGUCCAUGGACAUGCAAAGCACAACAACCAACAGCAGACGACACCUCCUCCAAAGCUAGACAUGGCAAGCAAGUGAGCUGGGAAACAUACCGUGUGCGGUGCUCGCAAAGGUUUAUUUGGAAAAUGCAAACGCGACUAUGAAGAGUAAAGAUGUAUUUCAAAAAUAGUACCUUCUCAAUACUUUUGAUGUACUCUGAUCUGAGACCUGUCUUUGGCAUUUUUACGGGUUAGGUUCAGAUGAAUCACCAUGUGCGACACAACAGCCAUCUGAUAUAUCUUCCAAGAUAGUUGUGCCCUUUUUGUAACUACAGUAUGUAAUGAGCACUUGUAGUUCUAUGUGCUUGACUGUUUGGACUAUUAAGCUGGGUAUGCAGGUGACAAGUUACAUGUGUUUUACACAUGUCUUGUUCGCUUUGCACACGAUAAUCAAACAAGCCUUUGUAUGGUUAAUUGAUGUUCUAGAGAUGUUUGGUCCUUUUCUCAACAGGCUGAAUCUUUUUUGACA
Triticum dicoccoides is the source of this 3418-nucleotide long non-coding RNA. RefSeq lists it as uncharacterized. The record is from RefSeq and is a predicted model, not a curated record. The transcript is spliced from 8 exons. NCBI's taxonomy places the organism in Eukaryota, Viridiplantae, Streptophyta, Magnoliopsida, Poales, Poaceae.